AAUAGAUACCCCGGGUAGUCCACGCCGUAAACGAUGGUGACUAGGUGUGGCUGGCUCAAGGGCUGGUCGUGCCGAAGCUAACGCGAUAAGUCACCCGCCUGGGGAGUACGGCCGCAAGGCUAAAACUCAAAGGAAUUGACGGGGGGCCCGCACAAGCAGCGGAGCGUGUGGUUUAAUUCGAUGCAACGCGAAGAACCUUACCUGGGCUUGACAUGGCGGUGGUAGGGAGGUGAAAGCCGAACGACCCGCAAGGGAGCCGUCACAGGUGCUGCAUGGCUGUCGUCAGCUCGUGUCGUGAGAUGUUGGGUUAAGUCCCGCAACGAGCGCAACCCUUGUCGCAUGUUUCAGGUGUCAUGCGAGACUGCCCGUGCAAGCGGGAGGAAGGUGGGGAUGACGUCAAGUCAGCAUGGCCUUUAUGUUCAGGGCGACACACACGCUACAAUGGCUGGGACAAUAGGACGCCAACCCGGCGAGGGGGGUAGCCGAAUCCGACAAACCCCGAGUCUCAGUUCGGAUUGGGGGUCUGCAACUCGCCCCC
Molecule: ribosomal RNA, 538 nt
Filed under: uncultured bacterium
Lineage: Bacteria
Description: bacterial SSU rRNA
Rfam family: Bacterial small subunit ribosomal RNA
Source: RNAcentral